UGGGGUGUAGCCAAGUGGUAAGGCAGAUGGUUUUGGUCCAUCCAUUCCGAGGUUCGAGUCCUUGCACCCCAG
Molecule: transfer RNA, 72 nt
Filed under: bacterium
Lineage: Bacteria
Description: tRNA-Gln
Rfam family: tRNA
About the family: Transfer RNA (tRNA) molecules are approximately 80 nucleotides in length. Their secondary structure includes four short double-helical elements and three loops (D, anti-codon, and T loops). Further hydrogen bonds mediate the characteristic L-shaped molecular structure. tRNAs have two regions of fundamental functional importance: the anti-codon, which is responsible for specific mRNA codon recognition, and the 3' end, to which the tRNAs corresponding amino acid is attached (by aminoacyl-tRNA synthetases). tRNAs cope with the degeneracy of the genetic code in two manners: having more than one tRNA (with a specific anti-codon) for a particular amino acid; and 'wobble' base-pairing, i.e. permitting non-standard base-pairing at the 3rd anti-codon position.
Source: RNAcentral